This 419-nucleotide unclassified non-coding RNA is filed under the name Hevea brasiliensis (rubber tree). The record is from RNAcentral. Lineage: Eukaryota; Viridiplantae; Streptophyta; Magnoliopsida; Malpighiales; Euphorbiaceae.
GUUUCGAACUCCAUUGUGAAGGACGCCUUGGCACAGAUGAAGAAGGAUCACUCUGGGAAUGUGUACCGGAAGAUGAUGAUCCGCUAGAAUCUACCAGUUCACUUUUAUACUUCUCAGUGUAUCUUACAAGAUUAUCAUGUUCCAAGAGCUUGCUUCGGAGCACUGAAGUUUCAGGCAAUGCAUACAGUGUAAAAAGUGCAUGACCGAGGAAAACUGCAUCCAAACUUGUCGGCCUGUUUUCGAAGAAAUAAGCCUGCUCCCCUAAUCUAGUUGAUAAAGCACUAAAGGCAUCAUUGGCAUUCCUGUAAAUCUCUUCCUCUCUUCUUUCAGCAUUUUCUUUUGUAAUACCAAGAAUUUGUUUCACAACAUGAACUUGCUUUAAGUACAAGAUUUUUCCAAGUGGCCACGGGAGAUCUGAA